AUGCACGCUGGCGGCGUGCCUAAUACAUGCAAGUCGAGCGAACGGACGAGAAGCUUGCUUCUCUGAUGUUAGCGGCGGACGGGUGAGUAACACGUGGAUAACCUACCUAUAAGACUGGGAUAACCUCGGGAAACCGGAGCUAAUACCGGAUAAUAUUUUGAACCGCAUGGUUCAAAAGUGAAAGACGGUCUUGCUGUCACUUAUAGAUGGAUCCGCGCUGCAUUAGCUAGUUGGUAAGGUAACGGCUUACCAAGGCAACGAUGCAUAGCCGACCUGAGAGGGUGAUCGGCCACACUGGAACUGAGACACGGUCCAGACUCCUACGGGAGGCAGCAGUAGGGAAUCUUCCGCAAUGGGCGAAAGCCUGACGGAGCAACGCCGCGUGAGUGAUGAAGGUCUUCGGAUCGUAAAACUCUGUUAUUAGGGAAGAACAUAUGUGUAAGUAACUGUGCACAUCUUGACGGUACCUAAUCAGAAAGCCACGGCUAACUACGUG
This 496-nucleotide ribosomal RNA is filed under the name uncultured bacterium. Its description in RNAcentral is "partial 16S ribosomal RNA". It matches the Rfam family "Bacterial small subunit ribosomal RNA", at positions 29 to 507 of the family's 1533-position model. The record is from RNAcentral.